This 2166-nucleotide ribosomal RNA is filed under the name human gut metagenome. RNAcentral's name for it is "bacterial LSU rRNA". It matches the Rfam family "Bacterial large subunit ribosomal RNA", at positions 288 to 2444 of the family's 2925-position model. The record is from RNAcentral.
AGCGAACGCGAAGGAGCCUGUUAGUGAUAAUGACAGAGACAGAGGAACAAGCUGGGAAGCUUGGCGAUACAGGGUGAUAGCCCCGUACUCGAAGUCCAGGUCAUGGUACUAAGCUAACGACAAGUAGGGCGGGACACGUGAUAUCCUGUUUGAAGAUGGGGGGACCAUCCUCCAAGGCUAAAUACUCCUGAUUGACCGAUAGUGAACCAGUACUGUGAAGGAAAGGCGAAAAGAACCCCGGUGAGGGGAGUGAAAUAGAACCUGAAACCUUGUACGUACAAGCAGUGGGAGCCCUUUAAGGGUGACUGCGUACCUUUUGUAUAAUGGGUCAGCGACUUAUAUUUUGUAGCGAGGUUAACCGAAUAGGGGAGCCGAAGGGAAACCGAGUCUUAACUGGGCGUCUAGUUGCAAGGUAUAGACCCGAAACCCGGUGAUCUAGCCAUGGGCAGGUUGAAGGUUGGGUAACACUAACUGGAGGACCGAACCGACUAAUGUUGAAAAAUUAGCGGAUGACUUGUGGCUGGGGGUGAAAGGCCAAUCAAACCGGGAGAUAGCUGGUUCUCCCCGAAAUCUAUUUAGGUAGAGCCUUGAGCGGACACCUUCGGGGGUAGAGCACUGUUUCGGCUAGGGGUCCAUCCCGGAUUACCAACCCGAUGCAAACUACGAAUACCGAAGAGUGAUACUCAGGAGACACACGGCGGGUGCUAACGUCCGUCGUGGAGAGGGAAACAACCCAGACCGCCAGCUAAGGUCCCAAAGUCUAUAUUAAGUGGGAAACGAAGUGGGAAGGCUUAGACAGCUAGGAUGUUGGCUUAGAAGCAGCCAUCAUUUAAAGAAAGCGUAAUAGCUCACUAGUCGAGUCGGCCUGCGCGGAAGAUGUAACGGGGCUCAAAUAUAGCACCGAAGCUGCGGCAUCAGACGAAAGUCUGUUGGGUAGGGGAGCGUUCUGUAAGCGGAUGAAGGUGAAUCGAGAGGUUUGCUGGACGUAUCAGAAGUGCGAAUGCUGACAUAAGUAACGAUAAAACGGGUGAAAAACCCGUUCGCCGGAAGACCAAGGGUUCCUGUCCAACGUUAAUCGGGGCAGGGUGAGUCGGCCCCUAAGGCGAGGCUGAAAAGCGUAGUCGAUGGGAAACGGGUUAAUAUUCCCGUACUUGGAUAAACUGCGAUGUGGGGACGGAGCAGGUUAGGUUAUCGCACUGUUGGAUAUGUGCGUUUAAGUUGGUAGGUGAGAAGUUUAGGCAAAUCCGGACUUCUAUAACACCGAGAGAUGAUGACGAGGCUCUACGGAGCUGAAGUAACCGAUACCACACUUCCAGGAAAAGCCACUAAGCUUCAGGUUUAUCUAAACCGUACUGAAAACCGACACAGGUGGUCAGGUAGAGAAUACUCAGGCGCUUGAGAGAACUCGGGUGAAGGAACUAGGCAAAAUAGCACCGUAACUUCGGGAGAAGGUGCGCCGGCGUAGAUUGUAGUCCCUUGCGGGCGAAGGUUGAACCGGUCGAAGAUACCAGCUGGCUGCAACUGUUUAUUAAAAACACAGCACUCUGCAAACACGAAAGUGGACGUAUAGGGUGUGAUGCCUGCCCGGUGCUGGAAGGUUAAUUGAUGGUGUAAUCGAAAGAGAAGCUCCUGAUCGAAGCCCCAGUAAACGGCGGCCGUAACUAUAACGGUCCUAAGGUAGCGAAAUUCCUUGUCGGGUAAGUUCCGACCUGCACGAAUGGCAUAAUGAUGGCCAGGCUGUCUCCACCCGAGACUCAGUGAAAUUGAAAUCGCCGUGAAGAUGCGGUGUACCCGCGGCUAGACGGAAAGACCCCGUGAACCUUUACUAUAGCUUGACACUGAACAUUGAAUUUUGAUGUGUAGGAUAGGUGGGAGACUUAGAAGAUGAUACGCCAGUAUUGUUGGAGUCGUCCUUGAAAUACCACCCUUUAACGUUUGAUGUUCUAACGAAGAUUACGAAACGUGGUCUCGGACAGUGUCUGGUGGGUAGUUUGACUGGGGCGGUCUCCUCCCAAAGAGUAACGGAGGAGCACGAAGGUUUGCUAAUGACGGUCGGACAUCGUCAGGUUAGUGCAAUGGUAUAAGCAAGCUUAACUGCGAGACAGACAAGUCGAGCAGGUACGAAAGUAGGUCAUAGUGAUCCGGUGGUUCUGAAUGGAAGGGCCA